Molecule: ribosomal RNA, 253 nt
Filed under: uncultured Eubacteriales bacterium
Lineage: Bacteria; Bacillati; Bacillota; Clostridia; Eubacteriales
Description: uncultured Clostridiales bacterium partial 16S ribosomal RNA
Rfam family: Bacterial small subunit ribosomal RNA
Source: RNAcentral
UACGUAGGGGGCAAGCGUUAUCCGGAUUUACUGGGUGUAAAGGGAGCGCAGGCGGCGUGGCAAGUCAGAUGUGAAAACCCGGGGCCCAACCCCGGGACUGCCCUUGGAACUGCAUGGCUGGAGUGCGGGAGGGGCAGGCGGAAUUCCUGGUGUAGCGGUGAAAUGCGUAGAUAUCAGGAGGAACACCGGCGGCGAAGGCGGCCUGCUGGACUGCGACUGACGUUGAGGCUCGAAAGCGUGGGGAGCGAACAGG